GCGAUGAACCAGACCGCCGCGGCGUGAAGGGCGUUGACGCUCAUGUGCGCCGAGGAAAGUCCGGGCUCCAUAGGGCAUGACGCCGGGUAACACCCGGGCGGGGGCGCGACCCUCGACAGCAAGCGCAACAGAAAGUAAACCGCCCGUCUAUUGGUUUCCUUUAGACGGGUAAGGGUGAAAUGGUGCGGUAAGAGCGCACCGCGGGUUUGGCGACAAACCCGGCGAGGUAAGCCUCGUCAGGAGCAAAGUUAAACAGCGGCGUAAGUAUGAACUGCCCGUUCAGCCGCGGGUAAACUGCGAAGACGCGGUCUGCGAAGACCGCGGUUAGAUAGAUGGCGGUCUGGCGUUCUUCGGAGCGUUACAGAACCCGGCUUAUGGUUCAUCGCCUUU
RNAcentral lists this RNase P RNA (390 nucleotides) under Treponema sp. RNAcentral describes it as "RNase P RNA component class A". It matches the Rfam family "Bacterial RNase P class A". From Rfam's summary of the family: Ribonuclease P (RNase P) is a ubiquitous endoribonuclease, found in archaea, bacteria and eukarya as well as chloroplasts and mitochondria. Its best characterised activity is the generation of mature 5'-ends of tRNAs by cleaving the 5'-leader elements of precursor-tRNAs. Lineage: Bacteria; Pseudomonadati; Spirochaetota; Spirochaetia; Treponematales; Treponemataceae. The record is from RNAcentral.